UACAGAGGUGGCAAGCGUUGUCCGGAUUUACUGGGUGUAAAGGGUGCGUAGGCGGAUGGGUACGCGAGUGGUGAAAUGCCUCGGCUCAACCGAGGAACGGCUGCUCGACCGGCCCGUCUGGAGGAGGACAGGGGCGACUGGAACUCUGGGUGGAGCGGGAAAAUGCGUAGAGAUCAGGAGGAACACCGAAGGCGAAGGCAGCCAUCUGGACCGCCACUGACGCUGAGGCACGAAAGCGUGGGGAGCAAACAGG
Molecule: ribosomal RNA, 253 nt
Filed under: uncultured bacterium
Lineage: Bacteria
Description: partial 16S ribosomal RNA
Rfam family: Bacterial small subunit ribosomal RNA
Source: RNAcentral